RNAcentral lists this ribosomal RNA (449 nucleotides) under uncultured bacterium. RNAcentral's name for it is "bacterial SSU rRNA". It matches the Rfam family "Bacterial small subunit ribosomal RNA", at positions 28 to 457 of the family's 1533-position model. The record is from RNAcentral.
GAUGAACGCUGGCGGCGUGCUUAACACAUGCAAGUCGAACGAAACACCUUAUUUGAUUUUCUUCGGAACUGAAGAUUUGGUGAUUGAGUGGCGGACGGGUGAGUAACGCGUGGGUAACCUGCCCUGUACAGGGGGAUAACAGUCAGAAAUGACUGCUAAUACCGCAUAAGACCACAGCACCGCAUGGUGCAGGGGUAAAAACUCCGGUGGUACAGGAUGGACCCGCGUCUGAUUAGCUGGUUGGUGAGGUAACGGCUCACCAAGGCGACGAUCAGUAGCCGGCUUGAGAGAGUGAACGGCCACAUUGGGACUGAGACACGGCCCAAACUCCUACGGGAGGCAGCAGUGGGGAAUAUUGCACAAUGGGGGAAACCCUGAUGCAGCGACGCCGCGUGAGUGAAGAAGUAUCUCGGUAUGUAAAGCUCUAUCAGCAGGGAAGAAAAUGACGG